CAAGUCGAACGGCAGCAUGAUCUAGCUUGCUAGAUUGAUGGCGAGUGGCGAACGGGUGAGUAAUACAUCGGAACGUGCCCUGUAGUGGGGGAUAACUAGUCGAAAGAUUAGCUAAUACCGCAUACGACCUGAGGGUGAAAGUGGGGGACCGCAAGGCCUCAUGCUAUAGGAGCGGCCGAUGUCUGAUUAGCUAGUUGGUGAGGUAAAGGCUCACCAAGGCGACGAUCAGUAGCUGGUCUGAGAGGACGAUCAGCCACACUGGGACUGAGACACGGCCCAGACUCCUACGGGAGGCAGCAGUGGGGAAUUUUGGACAAUGGGGGCAACCCUGAUCCAGCAAUGCCGCGUGUGUGAGGAAGGCCUUCGGGUUGUAAAGCACUUUUGUCCGGAAAGAAAUCGCACUUACUAAUAUUAGGUGUGGAUGACGGUACCGGAAGAAUAAGGACCGGCUAACUACGUGCCAGCAGCCGCGGUAAUACGUAGGGUCCAAGCGUUAAUCGGAAUUACUGGGCGUAAAGCGUGCGCAGGCGGUUGUGCAAGACCGAUGUGAAAUCCCCGGGCUUAACCUGGGAAUUGCAUUGGUGACUGCACGGCUAGAGUGUGUCAGAGGGGGGUAGAAUUCCACGUGUAGCAGUGAAAUGCGUAGAGAUGUGGAGGAAUACCGAUGGCGAAGCAGCCCCCUGGGAUAACACUGACGCUCAUGCACGAAAGCAUGGGGAGCAANCAGGAUUAGAUACCNUGGUAGUCCACGCCCUAAACGAUGUCAACUAGUUGUUGGGGAUUCAUUUCCUUAGUAACGUAGCUAACGCGUGAAGUUGACCGCCUGGGGAGUACGGUCGCAAGAUUAAAACUCAAAGGAAUUGACGGGGACCCGCACAAGCGGUGGAUGAUGUGGAUUAAUUCGAUGCAACGCGAAAAACCUUACCUACCCUUGACAUGCCACUAACGAAGCAGAGAUGCAUUAGGUGCUCGAAAGAGAAAGUGGACACAGGUGCUGCAUGGCUGUCGUCAGCUCGUGUCGUGAGAUGUUGGGUUAAGUCCCGCAACGAGCGCAACCCUUGUCUCUAGUCGCUACGAAAGGGCACUCUAGAGAGACUGCCGGUGACAAACCGGAGGAAGGUAGGGAUGACGUCAAGUCCUCAUGGCCCCUAUGGGUAGGGCUUCACACGUCAUACAAUGGUGCAUACAGAGGGUUGCCAAGCCGCGAGGUGGAGCUAAUCCCAGAAAAUGCAUCGUAGUCCGGAUCGUAGUCUGCAACUCGACUACGUGAAGCUGGAAUCGCUAGUAAUCGCGGAUCAGCAUGCCGCGGUGAAUACGUUCCCGGGUCUUGUACACACCGCCCGUCACACCAUGGGAGUGGGUUUUGCCAGAAGUAGUUAGCCUAACCGCAAGGGGGGCGAUUACCACGGCAGGGUUCAUGACUGGGGUGAAGUCGUAACAAGG
This 1443-nucleotide ribosomal RNA is filed under the name uncultured Ralstonia sp. Its description in RNAcentral is "bacterial SSU rRNA". It matches the Rfam family "Bacterial small subunit ribosomal RNA". Lineage: Bacteria; Pseudomonadati; Pseudomonadota; Betaproteobacteria; Burkholderiales; Burkholderiaceae. The record is from RNAcentral.